GGCAUUGUAGCUCAGUGGUAGAGCAAUCGGUUCAUACCCGAUCGGUCGCUGGUUCAAAUCUAGCCAAUGCCA
Molecule: transfer RNA, 72 nt
Filed under: Cyanobacteria bacterium UBA8530
Lineage: Bacteria; Bacillati; Cyanobacteriota
Also listed under: 2 other names
Description: tRNA-Met
Rfam family: tRNA
About the family: Transfer RNA (tRNA) molecules are approximately 80 nucleotides in length. Their secondary structure includes four short double-helical elements and three loops (D, anti-codon, and T loops).
Source: RNAcentral